This 398-nucleotide ribosomal RNA is filed under the name uncultured Shiraia. RNAcentral's name for it is "partial small subunit ribosomal RNA". It matches the Rfam family "Eukaryotic small subunit ribosomal RNA", at positions 30 to 432 of the family's 1831-position model. Lineage: Eukaryota; Fungi; Ascomycota; Dothideomycetes; Pleosporales. The record is from RNAcentral.
GCUUGUCUCAAAGAUUAAGCCAUGCAUGUCUAAGUAUAAACGAUUUUAUACGUGAAACUGCGAAUGGCUCAUUAUAUCAGUUAUAGUUUAUUUGAUGGUCCUUACUACUUGGAUAACCGUAGUAAUUCUAGAGCUAAUACAUGCAUCAAGCCCUGACUUCGGAAGGGGUGUAUUUAUUAGAUAAAAAACCAACGCCCUUCGGGGCUUCUUGGUGAUUCAUGAUAACUUCACGGAUCGCAUGGCCUUGCGCCGGCGACGGUUCAUUCAAAUUUCUGCCCUAUCAACUUUCGAUGGUAAGGUAUUGGCUUACCAUGGUUUCAACGGGUAACGGGGAAUUAGGGUUCGAUUCCGGAGAGGGAGCCUGAGAAACGGCUACCACAUCCAAGGAAGGCAGCAGG